ACGAACGCUGGCGGCGUGCCUAAUACAUGCAAGUCGAGCGGAAUGAUGAAGAAGCUUGCUUCUUCUGAUUUUAGCGGCGGACGGGUGAGUAACACGUGGGCAACCUACCUUGUAGAUUGGGAUAACUCCGGGAAACCGGGGCUAAUACCGAAUAAUCCAUUUUGCUUCAUGGCGAGAUGUUGAAAGACGGUUUCGGCUGUCACUAUAAGAUGGGCCCGCGGCGCAUUAGCUAGUUGGUAGGGUAAUGGCCUACCAAGGCGACGAUGCGUAGCCGACCUGAGAGGGUGAUCGGCCACACUGGGACUGAGACACGGCCCAGACUCCUACGGGAGGCAGCAGUAGGGAAUCUUCCACAAUGGACGAAAGUCUGAUGGAGCAACGCCGCGUGAGUGAAGAAGGUUUUCGGAUCGUAAGACUCUGUCGUAAGGGAAGAACACGUACGAGAGUAACUGCUCGUACCUUGACGGUACCUUAUUAGAAAGCCACGGCUAACUACGUG
Molecule: ribosomal RNA, 499 nt
Filed under: uncultured bacterium
Lineage: Bacteria
Description: bacterial SSU rRNA
Rfam family: Bacterial small subunit ribosomal RNA
Source: RNAcentral